GUUUGCCACUGAAAUUUUGCAACGCCAACUGAAGGAAGAAUCUCAAGCCAGCUCAAGUAAACUCGGGAAAAUCUCUCAUGCUGUUGGGACAACCAUCAAUCCGGUAGCUGUUAUGUUCAAUGCAAAGAUGAUGUCCAAGAUGAAGAAGAUCACCACCAGAUUUCAGGAGAUGGUGGACCAGCAAAACAAAUUGAAUUUAAUAAAAAGAUAUGUCGGU
Molecule: unclassified non-coding RNA, 217 nt
Filed under: Hevea brasiliensis (rubber tree)
Lineage: Eukaryota; Viridiplantae; Streptophyta; Magnoliopsida; Malpighiales; Euphorbiaceae
Source: RNAcentral